CACCACGUUAGAUGGUUGCAUGGCAGCCCAAUGCGAAAUUCCAUCUCUAUCCUUGCACGAUUGUAAAAGGGAGAUUCAGCCCGCACAGGAUUUUCAUUUCACUCCUGGCUUGCCUCUCUAGUUCGUCUCUCCAUCUCCCUGUAGCUUUGAUUUCAUCAGCAGUAGUGGAACGAUGUCACCGAUGUGAGAACGAAUGGUAUAGGGUUUGGAUUGAGGGAUUCAUGGCACCACCCGAAUGCCCGCCAUGCUUGCUUGCUUUGAUAUGCAGGUGCAAAUAAAGUCUGAUAAGCAUGAAUGUACCUCUACCAAUAGAGUUCUUGGAAGAAUGGCAACUCAAGCAUGGGUGGCUGACAGGGUUGCUACAACAUUGAGGAAGAAGCCGAGCAUAGGUGCUAAGGAACUUAAGAACAUGUUAGAAGAAAAAUACAAGGUACAAAUUCCUUAUGCCACUGUUUGGAAGGGUAAAGAGAGGGCAAUCAAGAAUAUAUGGGGUUCAUGGGAUGAUGGCUUUGAUUCGUUGUAUAAUUUUAAGGCUGAGAUAGAGUUGAUGUGUCCCGGCGGUUUAGUUGAGAUUGGGACCAAGAAAAUAGAUGGUAAAGUUCACUUUGAUCGAUUUUUUUGUUGCUUUCAGCCUUGUGUAAGGGGAUUCUUAUUAGGAUGUAGAAAAUAUCUUAGCAUUGAUUCUACUGCCCUCAAUGGGAAGUGGAAUGGUCACAUGGCAGCUGCAAAUGCUUUAGAUGGUCACAAUUGGAUGUACCCUGUGGUCUUUGGAUUUUUUGAUGCGGAAACUACUGAUAAUUGGACUUGGUUCAUGGAACAACUAGCAAUAUGUAUAGGCAAUGUGGAAGACCUAGCUAUAUGUACAGAUGCUUGCAAGGGUCUAGAGAAUGCAGUUGAGCGAGUGUUCCCUAACUGUGAGAAGAGGGAAUGCUUUAGACACUUGAUGGGGAACCUAGCAAAGAGAAAAACCGGGACAGUGUAUGGAAACCUAUGGCCAGCAGCUAGAGCAUAUAGGUCUGAGUAUAUGAAUACCACCUGAACAAGGUCUUAGAAGCUGAUUCUGAAGUUGAAAGGUGGUUGCAAACACAUCAUAGUCUCCUAUGGGCAAGAUCCAAAUUUUCGACCAAGAUAAAGUGUGACUUCAUCACUAACAAUGUUGCUGAGUCAUGGAAUGCGUGGAUCAAAGAAUUCAAGGAGCUGCAAGUUGAUGCUCUAGCAGAUGCAAUCAGGGAGAAGACAGUAGUUUUGUGGGCAAGAAGAAGGAAGAUCGGUGAAAGGUUGAAAGGUAGAAACAUACUACCUGCAAUUGUCACACAACUAAAGGCAUCCACUAGAGGCUUAGGAAACAUGAGGGUCAUGAAGGGUGCAGAUGAUACAACAGAAGUUACUGAGCUCCACAAUGGUGUUGAUGUCUUUAGGCAUGUGGUCUAUCUUGACCAGCAGAAGUGUACAUGUAGAGAGUGGCAGUUAACUGGAAAGCCAUGCCCUCAUGCUCUUGCAGCCAUUUCUACACAGAGAAAUCCUAUCAUGGAUGACUAUGUAGACCCUAUUUUCUCUGUUAAUUGCUUUAGGGUUGCAUAUGAAGGUGUUAUCCCCUGCAUAACCGAUAAGUCUUAAUGGCCAACAGUGGAUAAAGGGUUCAGGUUGCUCCCACUAGUGCCCAGGCCUAGAACUGUUCCUAGGCAAAGGAAGAAUAGAAUUCCUUCAUUUCGUGAGAAAGGAAAAGGAAAGAUUAGACGACAGGUGAAAUGCCCUAGAUGUGGAGAACUAGGCCAUAGACAAAGUAGCAAAAAAUGUGCUUUGAAUGGCACCAAAAUGAGGAAGAGAAAGACAAAAAAGACUACUCCAAAGGCUAGGAAAAAUAAGACUGCAAUGGAUGAACUCCAAACUCUACCAAGAUCAAAAAUUGCAAGAGCUCAAGUAGCAGAUAGCCCUGGUAGAGUCACUAGGAGUCAAACUGCUCUUUUGUCUGUUGGGGUAACACAAGGGGCUGCUGGAACACCACCAAGUGCAGCUGUACAAGUAGGCUCACAGCCUUCACCUGGGCCAGUGACAAGGAAGCAAUUGGCUAUGUUCCAAGCACCACCAACAGCAGCAUAGUCACCAGCACAUGCGAACAAGAAACCCAUCAAGAAGCUCACUCCUAAAAAGAGGAAGAAUCACUAAUGCAAACAGUGAUCUUAGUUGUCUUUUGAGGUCCAAAAACAUGUUAAACAUUAUUAUCAUGUGAUUGUGGGAACCUAUUUUACUUUUGUUGUAUGCACUGAGAAUAUGGUAUAUCUGGACAUAUAUGUUGGUGGCAAGGACCAUGUUAUGCCAGGCAUGUUUCAUCUAGAAAAUGUUAGGAAAACUAGGUUUAAACCUAUGACAUGUUGCUUUUGUUGCAUGAAGAGAUUGGUAUGUACUGUGCUUGUUAGGGAAAUAUGUGUUUAUUUCCUAUGUUAUAUUGAUGUAUAAAUUUGGGAGUUAAGCUUGUGAAUGGAUGUGUAUAU
RNA transcript from Oryza brachyantha (malo sina), 2492 nucleotides. RefSeq lists it as uncharacterized. The transcript has 5 exons. Lineage: Eukaryota; Viridiplantae; Streptophyta; Magnoliopsida; Poales; Poaceae. The record is from RefSeq and is a predicted model, not a curated record.